CAGUAGCCGCGGGAAUACAGAGGUCCCGAGCGUUGUUCGGAUUCACUGGGCGUAAAGGGUGUGUAGGAGGUUGGAUAAGUCAGGUGUGAAAUCCCGCAGCUCAACUGCGGAACUGCAUUCGAUACUGUUCAACUAGAGGAUCGGAGGGGGAAGCGGAAUUCUUGGUGUAGCGGUGAAAUGCGUAGAUAUCAAGAGGAACACCGGUGGCGAAGGCGGCUUCCUGGAAGAUACCUGACUCUGAAACACGAAAGCCAGGGGAGCGAAUGGGAUUAGAGACCCCAGUAGUCCCUGUCUCUUAUAA
RNAcentral lists this ribosomal RNA (301 nucleotides) under uncultured bacterium. Its description in RNAcentral is "partial 16S ribosomal RNA". It matches the Rfam family "Bacterial small subunit ribosomal RNA", at positions 509 to 809 of the family's 1533-position model. The record is from RNAcentral.